GCUAACUACGUGCCAGCAGCCGCGGUAAUACGUAGGUGGCAAGCGUUAUCCGGAAUUAUUGGGCGUAAAGCGCGCGCAGGUGGUUUCUUAAGUCUGAUGUGAAAGCCCACGGCUCAACCGUGGAGGGUCAUUGGAAACUGGGAGACUUGAGUGCAGAAGAGGAAAGUGGAAUUCCAUGUGUAGCGGUGAAAUGCGUAGAGAUAUGGAGGAACACCAGUGGCGAAGGCGACUUUCUGGUCUGUAACUGACACUGAGGCGCGAAAGCGUGGGGAGCAAACAGGAUUAGAUACCCUGGUAGUC
RNAcentral lists this ribosomal RNA (300 nucleotides) under uncultured Bacillus sp. Its description in RNAcentral is "bacterial SSU rRNA". It matches the Rfam family "Bacterial small subunit ribosomal RNA", at positions 496 to 795 of the family's 1533-position model. The record is from RNAcentral. Lineage: Bacteria; Bacillati; Bacillota; Bacilli; Caryophanales; Bacillaceae.